UACGUAGGGAGCGAGCGUUGCCCGGAAUUACUGGGCGUAAAGGGUGCGUAGGUGGCCAUGCAAGUCAGAUGUGAAAUCCCCGGGCUUAACUCGGGUGCUGCAUUUGAAACUGCGUGGCUUGAGUGCAGGAGAGGAAAGCGGAAUUCCUAGUGUAGCGGUGAAAUGCGUAGAUAUUAGGAGGAACACCAGUGGCGAAGGCGGCUUUCUGGACUGUUACUGACACUGAGGCACGAAAGCGUGGGGAGCAAACAGG
This 253-nucleotide ribosomal RNA is filed under the name uncultured bacterium. RNAcentral describes it as "partial 16S ribosomal RNA". It matches the Rfam family "Bacterial small subunit ribosomal RNA", at positions 524 to 776 of the family's 1533-position model. The record is from RNAcentral.